This 83-nucleotide transfer RNA is filed under the name Atopobium deltae. It matches the Rfam family "tRNA". Rfam says of the family: Transfer RNA (tRNA) molecules are approximately 80 nucleotides in length. Their secondary structure includes four short double-helical elements and three loops (D, anti-codon, and T loops). The record is from Rfam by way of RNAcentral. Lineage: Bacteria; Bacillati; Actinomycetota; Coriobacteriia; Coriobacteriales; Atopobiaceae.
GCGGGCGUGGUGGAAUUGGUAGACACGCUAGAUUUAGGUUCUAGUGGGCAAACCCCGUGAAGGUUCGAGUCCUUUCGCCCGCA